This 840-nucleotide ribosomal RNA is filed under the name Atlantibacter hermannii. Its description in RNAcentral is "bacterial SSU rRNA". It matches the Rfam family "Bacterial small subunit ribosomal RNA", at positions 610 to 1428 of the family's 1533-position model. The record is from RNAcentral. Lineage: Bacteria; Pseudomonadati; Pseudomonadota; Gammaproteobacteria; Enterobacterales; Enterobacteriaceae.
CAACCUGGGAACUGCAUCCGAAACUGGCAGGCUUGUAGUCUUGUAGAAGGGGGGUAGACAUUACCAGGUGUAGCCGGUGAAAUGGCGUAGAGAUCUGGAGGGAAUACCGGUGGCGAAAGGCGGCCCCCUUGGACAAACGACUGACGCUCAGGUGCGAAAGCGUGGGGAGCAAACAGGGAUUAGAUACCCUGGUAGUCUCACGCCGUAAACGAUGUCGACUUGGAGGUUGUGCCCUUGAGGCGUGCCGCUUCUCGGAGCUAACGCGUUAAGUCGACCGCCUGGUGGAGUACGGCCGCAAGGUUAAAAUCUCAAAUGAAUUGACGGGGGCCCGCACAAGCGGUGGAGCAUGUGGUCGUUAAUUCGAUGCAACGCGAAGAACCUUACCUGGUCUUGACAUCCACAGCACACUUUCCAGAGAUGGAUUUGGUGCCUUCGGGAACUGUGAGACAGGUGCUGCAUGGCUGUCGUCAGCUCGUGUUGUGAAAUGUUGGGUUAAGUCCCGCAACGAGCGCAACCCUUAUCCUUUGUUGCCAGCGGUCCGGCCGGGAACUCAAAGGAGACUGCCAGUGAUAAACUGGAGGAAGGUGGGGAUGACGUCAAGUCAUCAUGGCCCUUACGACCAGGGCUACACACGUGCUACAAUGGCGCAUACAAAGAGAAGCGAACUCGCGAGAGCAAGCGGACCUCAUAAAGUGCGUCGUAGUCCGGAUUGGAGUCUGCAACUCGACUCCAUGAAGUCGGAAUCGCUAGUAAUCGUGGAUCAGAAUGCCACGGUGAAUACGUUCCCGGGCCUUGUACACACCGCCCGUCACACCAUGGGAGUGGGUUGCAAAAGAAGUA